GUAACCGGCUCACCAAGGCGACGACGGGUAGCCGGCCUGAGAGGGCGACCGGCCACACUGGGACUGAGACACGGCCCAGACUCCUACGGGAGGCAGCAGUGGGGAAUAUUGCGCAAUGGGCGAAAGCCUGACGCAGCGACGCCGCGUGGGGGAUGACGGCCUUCGGGUUGUAAACCUCUUUCAGCAGGGAAGAAGCGCAAGUGACGGUACCUGCAGAAGAAGCGCCGGCUAACUACGUGCCAGCAGCCGCGGUAAUACGUAGGGCGCGAGCGUUGUCCGGAAUUAUUGGGCGUAAAGAGCUCGUAGGCGGUUCGUCGCGUCGGCUGUGAAAUCCCGAGGCUCAACCUCGGGUCUGCAGUCGAUACGGGCGGACUGGAGUUCGGCAGGGGAGACUGGAAUUCCUGGUGUAGCGGUGAAAUGCGCAGAUAUCAGGAGGAACACCGGUGGCGAAGGCGGGUCUCUGGGCAACAACUGACGCUGAGGAGCGAAAGCGUGGGGAGCGAACAGGAUUAGAUACCCUGGUAGUCCACGCCGUAAACGAUGGGCACUAG
RNAcentral lists this ribosomal RNA (551 nucleotides) under uncultured Actinomycetes bacterium. RNAcentral describes it as "bacterial SSU rRNA". It matches the Rfam family "Bacterial small subunit ribosomal RNA", at positions 256 to 819 of the family's 1533-position model. The record is from RNAcentral. Lineage: Bacteria; Bacillati; Actinomycetota; Actinomycetes.